Molecule: long non-coding RNA, 2648 nt
Organism: Herpailurus yagouaroundi (jaguarundi)
Lineage: Eukaryota; Metazoa; Chordata; Mammalia; Carnivora; Felidae
Exons: 3
Source: RefSeq, a predicted model, not a curated record
UGAACUUCAUGGACACAGUGGAGGAGACUGAGCUCCCUUGAUUUCUGACUGCAUACAGUGUUCGGUCAAUAAGAAGUCAUAUGGCAUCAGAGGAAGAGAGGAGAAAGGUCAGAUGAAUCUGCUCAUAAUCCCAAAGUAUUCUCCCUCCUGACUACAUCAGAGAAACUUCUCAUGGCAUAGAAACUGCCAGCAGCCAGAUGAAGACACCUGUCCCUAUCUGCAUGUGGAGUCAUAAGCAGUCAUUUCCUAGCUUGGCAGCACUCCUUCAAGUGACAUUUCCAACACCACCUAGAGAACCAGGAAAUUCAGUCAGGCAGGCAGCACCAGAGGUGGGCCUGAUCAAGUCCCUCUUGGCAAAUUCUUGUUCAAGAAAUAAAAAGGGGAAGACCCUGGACAUAAAUCCCAACAUGCUAUAGAUAAUUUUUUGGAGGUAAUUGCUGAUUUGCAAAUAGGCAAAGUUUUUAAGCUUUGACUUGUUUAGAAUAUGGAAGAAAAUAAUAAUAAUAAUAAAAAGGACAGUCUAAUUUCUUUUCUUUUAUAAUUACCCACACAGAAUGAAGAGAACUGAGGAAAUUAAUCUUAAUGACCCAAACCCCUCCCCUCUAGAAACAUACUUUCCCUCAUUGUAUGGGUAUUUCAAAUAAUCAGAUCCCCCAAAUGGCUUCUAGUUCUUCUCCUUUUCAUGGCUAGGUAGCUUUCCUCUUUCUCUCUUUUUUUACUUCCUUCCUUUCUUCCUACAAAUAAUUAUUGAAUACAUAGAAUAUUACAGGCCCUUAGGAUACAUCAGUUAACUUUAUAGACAUUGUCUUUGCCCUCGUGGAACUUAGUCUAGUUGGGGGAUCAGGCAUCAAAUUAAAAUUUAUACAAAGUGUUAUAUAAUUGCAGUAAUUUCAGUAAUAAUAAAUAUAGUACUAUAUUAAUUUUUAACAAGUCUUUAAGUUCAGGGAAGGCUUUCCUAAAGAAAACAAUAUUCAUUGUUGAGACUAAAAGAAUAAAUAAUACAUAAAGCAAUCCCAAAUAUAGAAGCCUCCCAGAAAAUGGAAAGACAAAGAAAAUGAACAAAACAAUCUCUAAUACAGUCUAGAUUUAGACCCAUAGUCAACGUUAUAUCAGCAAGAAAGUGAUGCUCUUUCUACAAUCUCUUUUUGGAAUCCUAUUCCUGAAGAGAAGAGACUGCUGUUAAAUACCUGAAAAAAUGUCAUCACUAUUAACAGAUAACCUAAAUGUAUUUGUAAUCCAGAGCUUAGAUGAUCUGUAUAGCUAAAAGAACAAAUACCAGCAAAUAAUACCCAAAGGGGUGUUAGAAAACAUAUAUUCUGUCCAACCUGAAUUAUUUGCAUCCCCAGUAUGGAAGUGUAUUUAUUAGGGUAUAAGUUUGACUGCCAUGACAGAAACUCAAAACAAUAGAAGCUUAAACAUAGUGGAAGUUUUGUUUUUCUCUCUACUAACCACCUGAGUAUAAGAAUACUAGAAUUAGGAUGGUAGCUCCAUGGUGUGAAGGCACAGUCUUCUUAUAUCAUGUUGUUUUAUGCUCUCUAGAAUGUUGCCCUCAUCUGCAUGUUUCAAGAUGACUCAUAAGAAAGGGAAAAGAAGUUAAAGAGAAGGUCAUUCCCUUUUAAGAGGCACAACCCAGAAUUUUCUGAUGUCAUUUCUGCUCUUAAAUCAUGACCUAGAUGGACCUAGUCACAAGGCCACACCUAGCUUUGGAAACAUAGUCAUUAUUCUGGGUACUCAUAUGCCCAAGUGAAAAAUAUGAGAAAGAAAAUGAUAUCAGAUAAUUGGGGGAAAUUCAUAUACCACCACAAUGACAAACAUGAAAAACAUUAUGAUAACUCAAAGGAUAUAACAAUGAGUGAGGCUAGUUUCCUGACCUGAAGGAUGCCAGGAGCCAAUGGUUGGGAGAGGCAGCAGACAUGCACUAGAGGAGAGGUAGAUUUUAGGGAUGAGGAAAGGCCAUACAUUGAUUCUCUUUGGGGAAUUAUCAUAGAAAAGGUAACAGCUAAGUUGGGUUCUAAAUUAUGUGUCAGAUUUCAACAGGAAGAGAAAGGUAAGAACCUUUCAGGAAGAGGAAACCAUGUUACAGCAACUUCCUUGAUGGAUCUACAUGAGCUUAAUAUGCUUGUUGCUGUAUCCACACGUUAUCUUUAGUCAGAUGAUUUAAAGAAUAAUCUUAAUUACAAGUCUUAGUCAAAGUAAUGAGUAUUAUCCAUUUUAAUGCAAAAGUGAAUUGUGAAAGUUUUUGAAUCAUAACUAGUGCAUUCCUGAGUGGUGAGAUCCCGCUUGAUAGACCUAACAAAAUGAUGAAGGCUGAGAUUCUUCUUGGAAGUGUUAAUCCACAAAGUAUGUAGCCAUAAACAUGCCUUUUCCUUUUACAUUCUAAAGACAUCCACAAAGUAAGGUAAACAGUGAAGAAGGAUCUGUAAAAUAAUCCAUCUCAAGACUAUCACAACUCAUAAAAAUUGAGUUAACUAAACUCUGUCCAGAUGAGAAAAUAGCAGUCAUAAUUUCCAUGAGUAUAUGAAUUUAUGGUUUUAAAAGAGUGUACUUUACAUUGUCAGUUAAUACUUAAUAUACAUCUAUGCUAUAGGUACAGCUGGUAUUAUUAUUUCAAUUUUAAGAAUGACACAACCAAAUCUAAAACAUAUAAA